Sorex araneus (European shrew) is the source of this 104-nucleotide small nuclear RNA. The record is from RefSeq and is a predicted model, not a curated record. NCBI's taxonomy places the organism in Eukaryota, Metazoa, Chordata, Mammalia, Eulipotyphla, Soricidae.
GUGCUCGCUUCGGCAGCACAUAUACUAAAAUUGGAACGGUACAGAGAUUAGCAUGGCCCUUGCACAAGGAUGACACGCAAAUGUCAUCCUUGCGUGUCAUAUUU